GAGUUUGAUCCUGGCUCAGGAUGAACGCUAGCGGCAGGCUUAACACAUGCAAGUCGAGGGGCAGCACGAUUGCUUGCAAUUGGUGGCGACCGGCGCACGGGUGCGUAACGCGUAUGCAACUUACCCUUUACAGGGGGAUAGCCCGGGGAAACUCGGAUUAAUAUCCCAUAGUAUCAUAAUGCCACAUGGUAUAAUGAUUAAAGAUUUAUCGGUAAAGGAUGGGCAUGCGUAAGAUUAGCUAGUUGGUAAGGUAAUGGCUUACCAAGGCUACGAUCUUUAGGGGGCCUGAGAGGGUGAACCCCCACACUGGUACUGAGACACGGACCAGACUCCUACGGGAGGCAGCAGUGAGGAAUAUUGCGCAAUGGAGGAAACUCUGACGCAGCCAUGCCGCGUGAAGGAUGAAUGCCUUAUGGGUUGUAAACUUCUUUUAUACGAGAAUAAACCCCCCUACGUGUAGGGGGCUGAAGGUAUCGUACGAAUAAGGACCGGCUAACUCCGUGCCAGCAGCCGCGGUAAUACGGAGGGUCCAAGCGUUAUCCGGAUUCAUUGGGUUUAAAGGGUGCGUAGGCGGCUUAAUAAGUCAGUGGUGAAAGACUGUGGCUCAACCAUAGAAUUGCCAUUGAUACUGUUAAGCUUGAAUCUAGUUGAAGUGGGCGGAAUACAUCAUGUAGCGGUGAAAUGCAUAGAUAUGAUGUGGAACGCCGAUUGCGAAGGCAGCUCACUAAGUUAGUAUUGACGCUGAGGCACGAAAGCGUGGGUAGCGAACAGGAUUAGAU
RNAcentral lists this ribosomal RNA (779 nucleotides) under uncultured bacterium. RNAcentral's name for it is "bacterial SSU rRNA". It matches the Rfam family "Bacterial small subunit ribosomal RNA", at positions 9 to 783 of the family's 1533-position model. The record is from RNAcentral.